AGCAGCCGCGGUAAUUCCAGCUCCAAUAGCGUAUAUUAAAGUUGUUGCAGUUAAAAAGCUCGUAGUUGAACCUCGGGGUCUACCCAUUGGUCAGGCUUAAUUGUCUGCACUGGUGAGAUGGAUCUCUACCUUCUGAGGAACUUUCAUGCCAUUUAUUUGGUGUGAUGGGAAAUCAGGACUGUUACUUUGAAAAAAUUAGAGUGUUUAAAGCAGACUAUCGUCUGAAUACAUUAGCAUGGAAUAAUGAAAUAGGACGGACUGAUUCUAUUUCGUUGGUUUCUAGGAUCACCGUAAUGAUUAAUAGGGAUAGUUGGGGGCAUUAGUAUUCAAUUGUCAGAGGUGAAAUUCUUGGAUUUAUUGAAGACUAACUACUGCGAAAGCAUUUGCCAAGGAUGUUUUCAUUAAUCAAGAACGAAAGUUAGGGGAUCGAAGACGAUCAGAUACCGUCGUAGUCUUAACCAUAAACUAUGCCGACUAGGGAUCGGACGAAGUUAAUUUUAUAAUGACGCGUUCGGCACCUUACG
RNAcentral lists this ribosomal RNA (524 nucleotides) under uncultured Diversisporaceae. RNAcentral's name for it is "SSU rRNA". It matches the Rfam family "Eukaryotic small subunit ribosomal RNA", at positions 569 to 1092 of the family's 1831-position model. The record is from RNAcentral. Lineage: Eukaryota; Fungi; Glomeromycota; Glomeromycetes; Diversisporales.